Molecule: non-coding RNA, 933 nt
Organism: Drosophila melanogaster (fruit fly)
Lineage: Eukaryota; Metazoa; Arthropoda; Insecta; Diptera; Drosophilidae
Source: Ensembl
AAGAAACGAUGGGAGUGUUUUCGUCCGAGGCGAAAUUAUUUUUAUUUUUUUCGCGCUUCAUAGCCAGCGAUUAAUGAGCUAAUCUAGCUUAAAACGCGACCGGGUAGUUGCAACUCUUGCUGUGAUAAAAGGCAGUGAGCUGCCUCGAUGAGAAGGCGAGAAAAAACGAAUCGAAAAUUGAGACACCCGCGACCUCCGAAACAAAGUGGGAAAAAUCGAACCUGUGUGCGUGUGUGUGUGUCUGCGUUCAUUAAAAGUGUGUGUGUAGAAUAGUAAAUUUAAUUUAAAAUUAAAGAGCCCAAUGUGUGCAAUCCAUAAUCGAAUCAUAUACACAACCUGCGAUCGGUGAUAAUGAGCGCGGCGAUGAGCAAUCGCUAAUCGCGAGUGCAAAACCUGAGUAGCAGCAGCAACAACAGCAACAUCAACAAACGCAGCAGGCGAAUCCAGCACACACCGCACCGCCCCGCCCCGCUUACAUACACACAGAGAAGCGGCGAUGGAGGCGUUGGAAGUGGAGGACACCAGCGAUGACAGCCUGCCCAUGGGAUUCCCAGAAGUGGGCACCUGGAACAGCACCCAUAAUGUCUCCUUGAACGACAUGAAUCUGGAUGCGCGCAUGUGAAUCAACCGACGACUGGCUUUAUCUCCACAUUUAUUGGUUCAAUGGUCAAAGGGAGCAGCGGAAAGCUUAUCAAUCAGCGGGAUUUGGUCAUUGACACACACAUACUCCGCCUCCUUGUCACUCCGCCGCCCCGGUGAAGAUAAGACUACUGGUUUCUAGGCUGAUCUAGAGUUCAAAUCGGAAUUUAGAUGUCCCAUAACUUACUUUUAUAAUCGUCUAUAUUUUUAAUUCAACAAUAUUCCAUUUUAAGAUAGUCGACAUCAAUUGUUAUUUAUAAAUCCCGUCUGAAAAAAACAGUAAUUCGAUGAAGU